AGGGCCAGAGAGAGAGAGGGUGGGCAGAGGGCCAGCAGGAGGGGCCCUGCCACCCACCCAAGGCCUAGGACAGGGAAGAGGGGAGUCAGAGCUGAGCCAGCCAAGAGCGUGUGCGCCUGCUGCUCCAUUUCCACAGAAGGGAAGACUGAGAGGAUACGACCAAAGGGGGCAGAGGCAGAACUCAGGUCUCUGAAGGGCCCCCGUAUCCUGUCAUUGGCCCCAGCGGGCCCGUCUUCCCUCAGGAAGCCCGAGGCUGGGGCGUUAACCCAGGGCUCUGAGGAUUAGUCACGGACACCCUAGGCUUCUUGCCUACUCUGAAGCUGGUGUGAGCCCAGCAGAGGCUCUGAAGGGGUCAGGCUGGGUCAGAGGGUUAAGAGAGAGGUUCUUAUGCUUUGGGUAUACUGAUGGAAGCUAUGGCCCCUCACAGAACAACAGCGUUUGCAUAUAUACAUGUAAGGAGGCUUGUCUAGACCAAAUCCUCUGGUUUGGGUCCAGGGAGCAGAAGCGAGGAAGGGUCAGUGCUGGGCCCUUGGGUCCGUCCCCCACCACCUCUCACUAGGCCAGGGACCCUGCUCCUGAGCUGUGCACACACCAGCCCCUCCACUCACCCACACACACCCAGCCUCCGGUCUCUGUGGCAGGUACGGCUGGCCUGCAUCUUUUCAGAUUGGAUCCUUAAGGCAGUCAGGGUCUGGGGGCCGCCACUGCUGGAGUGGGGACAUUCAGGGCAAAUGGGAAUAGGGGGAAGAGGAAGGCCUAUGACCCUCAUGUCCUGAUGGUUCCUGGGGGAGUGUGGGAGGUGCCAGCCCUCAGCUCCCACAGACCCCUGACCCCUGGCCAGCAGCUCUCCAGGGCGCUUAGAGGCUUGGCUCAGGAGGGGAAGCCAGGGCUGUGGGAAGUGGGCGGGGCCUGUGCAGCCACCUCUGUGAGCUCAGGAGAGUUGACAAUGCCUCCAGCAGGCAGGCCAUGAAGGGGAACAGGAACACUUCUCCCUGACGCCACACCCCCAUGUAGACAGAUGUCCCGUGCAGCUUGGUGGGGGGCUCCUUCCAGACAGCUCCUAGAAUCCAGGGGCUAAAGACACACUUCCUCCCUCUGCCAGGUCUCUCCAGGCCCUCGUGCUCACACCGGGCCUCACCUCCCACCUCAGUUACCAAUCCCAGGCUCCCUGAGCAGGGAUCAGAAUGCAGUUGGUUCCAGGGCUGCAGAGAUGGUUCCUGUCCUGAAGAGCCCUGAGAAAUAGGUCAAGCAUUGCCAUCUCUUGAAGGACAGGGUUGCCACCUGCUCUUUGACAGGCAGAGACUGACAGCGGGCCAGGAGAGGUGCCCUGACAGAUGAGACAUGUACCAGAGAACCAACGUGAACGUAACAUCCUUCUCCAGGGGCCUCACUAUCAACCAGCUGUUUGGCAUGAAAUUUCCCAGACAGAUUUCAGUGCCAAAUCUUUCCCCAUUCUUACUGGAAAUCUCUUUAAAUGAUUGUAUUACAUAUUUCCCUGGGCUCUGUUAACCUUAUGUGAGUUGAACAUCAGUUCCAUCUUUUUUUGGCCAGGGGGAUAAAAACUUUCAUUGUAAGCACUAAAUACAUUUGCAAAAUGAUA
Long non-coding RNA from Odocoileus virginianus texanus, 1600 nucleotides. RefSeq lists it as uncharacterized. The record is from RefSeq and is a predicted model, not a curated record. Lineage: Eukaryota; Metazoa; Chordata; Mammalia; Artiodactyla; Cervidae.